RNAcentral lists this transfer RNA (76 nucleotides) under bacterium. Its description in RNAcentral is "tRNA-Lys". It matches the Rfam family "tRNA". Rfam says of the family: Transfer RNA (tRNA) molecules are approximately 80 nucleotides in length. Their secondary structure includes four short double-helical elements and three loops (D, anti-codon, and T loops). The record is from RNAcentral.
GAAUGAGUAGCUCAGCUGGCAGAGCAGCGGUCCUUUAAACCGUGGGUCGUGGGUUCGAAUCCCGCCUUGUUCACCA